RNAcentral lists this ribosomal RNA (484 nucleotides) under uncultured bacterium. RNAcentral describes it as "partial 16S ribosomal RNA". It matches the Rfam family "Bacterial small subunit ribosomal RNA", at positions 30 to 507 of the family's 1533-position model. The record is from RNAcentral.
AUUGAACGCUGGCGGCAGGCCUAACACAUGCAAGUCGAGCGGAUGAAGGGAGCUUGCUCCUGGAUUCAGCAGCGGACGGGUGAGUAAUGCCUAGGAAUCUGCCUGGUAGUGGGGGAUAACGUCCGGAAACGGGCGCUAAUACCGCAUACGUCCUGAGGGAGAAAGUGGGGGAUCUUCGGACCUCACGCUAUCAGAUGAGCCUAGGUCGGAUUAGCUAGUUGGUGGGGUAAAGGCCUACCAAGGCGACGAUCCGUAACUGGUCUGAGAGGAUGAUCAGUCACACUGGAACUGAGACACGGUCCAGACUCCUACGGGAGGCAGCAGUGGGGAAUAUUGGACAAUGGGCGAAAGCCUGAUCCAGCCAUGCCGCGUGUGUGAAGAAGGUCUUCGGAUUGUAAAGCACUUUAAGUUGGGAGGAAGGGCGGUAAGUUAAUACCUUGCUGUUUUGACGUUACCAACAGAAUAAGCACCGGCUAACUUCGUG